RNAcentral lists this long non-coding RNA (1029 nucleotides) under Medicago truncatula (barrel medic). Its description in RNAcentral is "lncRNA gene4712". Lineage: Eukaryota; Viridiplantae; Streptophyta; Magnoliopsida; Fabales; Fabaceae. The record is from RNAcentral.
CUAGAACAAAGUGCAUCUAUAACUAAUGCAAAUGUUUCUAUCCUUAUUGGCCCUUUAGGCUUAUUUGAAUCGUCUUUGUUUUUCUCUUUUUUCACCUCUUCGCCAUUCAGUAGAGCUGAAGGAAUGCUGCAUAUCUAAGUUACCAAUUGAGGAUGUCCCAUCAAGUCUGAUAUUGCAAUUUUGCACCACAUUUGUCCAUGAACCAUUUGAGUCCAAUAAGUUAAAGUAGUUUUCUCUAGGCUGCUUGUGCUUUUCUCAAACAGGACUUCGAAGAUAAUGCACACCUAAUAACUUGGUAUUUGUUUCUGAAAUCUUAGGGAACUGGAAAGAGAAUGGGCUCUCACAAGUGGUAUCAAUGAUUGUACAACGUCUGUCAUGAGUGGCCUGUAAUCAGCUUCUGGCUGUAUGCACAUUGCGGCGAUGGCAGCUACCUGUAAAACCCCGUAGCAACAUAAAGUAAAAUGGUAAGUUAAUUGAUGGUAAAAAUAUUAUCAAUCCAAAUUAUAAGUCAUAAUUAUGAGGAUAAUAAGAGAAUAACAGUGACUAAACGAAAUCAGGUCUGACCUGAACUAAAGCCUUCUUUGAGUACUGCCCAUGUAGAACUGGGUCAACCAUUUCCACAACUUUUUCUCUGUUUGUCAAUCUUGGAAGAGCCUGAUGAAUAACAAGUGUCGGAGGAUGUCACAAAAUGAAAUGUCAGUAUUACAAGCUCAAUUAGGUCCUUAAGGAUGACUAUUUUUUUCCCUUUGGUUUUAAACAAACUAGUCUUGAAUAGUUUCAAAGUACUGUUUUCUUACCCAAGAGACGAGGACAUGUUCUCCGGUGGGCCGCUUAAUAUCAACUGGUACACGUCCUGUUAGUAAUUCGAGAAGAACUACACCGUAGCUGUAAACAUCCGACUUUGUAGUAAGCUUACCCGUGGAGGCAUACCUACAUUAUCAUAUCCAAGUUAAACAGACAAAUUAAAUUUAUGGAAUAAUUUAUGAAGUCAAUGAUUUUUUUAAAAUUAUUACUAGGUUUCUUUGUGAC